AUCGUCGGAGAGUCGAAGAUGAGCGGCGGCAUCCGGCGGUUCCUGAACCUAGGGGUGCAUGACGGGCGCAACCGCGCGUAUUCGUUGCGCCGCUUGGACCUCUCCAAGAUAAACUCUUUUCACCGGACGGCAGAUGAGGUGGCCGCGCAGGGCAAGGUGCUGCCAACACUGACCCCCGCCAAGGCCUCGGUGCCCAACAGGAAAAGGAUCUGCAACACUAAUCUAGCGGCGGCAGAGGCGGCGGCGCCCAAGAUCAAAAAGGCGCCAGCAAGCGAGUUGGUCAUGAGGCCACCGGAAGUCUCGUCCUGCCUGCCGGGCCGUCACUGCGUUCAUUUCUUCCCCACCGCCUCGGAGAAAACAUUCGUCUUGGGCGACCGCGCGAAUCGCAUGCUACGCUUCGACAUGGGCGAGCACUGCCGCUCGAUCGAUACCAUGCCAAGCCUCCACGAGCACAAGCACUCGCCGUUGUCAAUCACCGUCCCUCCGUCGGACUCACACCUCGAUGAUGGAGAAGACUGCGGGGACCUCUACAUCAUCGAUAGGAUCCUCCAUCCGGACAAGUCCGAGGUGAAGCCGCAGUUCGAGGCCCUGGUGUGGAGGGCAGAGCAUCCACGCUCCUUUUCUAGCAGGUCCUGGCACUGUGACAUCCUCCCGCUGCCACCGUGGAUCAUCCACCAGAAGCACGCCUACGUCUAUGGCCACGCCCUCGUGGGCGACACCAUCUGCUUCUCUAUCGCCGGUGCCGAGGGCACUGGCACCUACUGCUUCUACAUCAAGACUCGUGAGUGGAGCAAGGCUGGCGACUGGCUUAUUCCGUUCCAGGGCAAGGCGGAAUACGUCCCGGAGCUCGGGCUCUGGUUCGGUGAAUCACAAGGCCUCCCCUGCGCUGCUGACAUCUCUGGCGUCCUCAGAGGGGAGGAGCCGCUGCCGGAGAAGAUGCGGAUCUGGGCGAAUGAUGACCUGCCAGAGGAGUGGCAGCCGAGCGAAUUGUGCAAGUCCAAGGUCAUCAGCGUUGGCUCCGGCAGGUUCAUUGUUGCUGACUUCUUGGAUUCCAUGAUAUUUGACAAGGACUGCAAUGAGAUGGUUACUGGCAAGCAAUUUGCCCUCUUUACUGGUAUGGAGGUAGUGUACGGCAAUGGCAAGAAUGGCAAUGGCGCCAACAAAGACAAUGACAACUACAAUAGUGGCAACAAUGGCAUCUGCAAAGACAAUGGAAACAUUGGCAGCAAAGGCAAAGAGAUGAUGCGUGGCCUCCGUAUGAUUAAGCACAAAUCCAUUCGUUACAUGUUUAACAAGCAACUGAGUAUCGAGGCGGUGCUCUGA
Molecule: ribosomal RNA, 1323 nt
Filed under: Triticum aestivum (bread wheat)
Lineage: Eukaryota; Viridiplantae; Streptophyta; Magnoliopsida; Poales; Poaceae
Description: partial small subunit ribosomal RNA
Source: RNAcentral